Molecule: non-coding RNA, 73 nt
Organism: Podarcis lilfordi (Lilford's wall lizard)
Lineage: Eukaryota; Metazoa; Chordata; Lepidosauria; Squamata; Lacertidae
Source: the annotation of a GenBank genome assembly
AGCCAGUGUGGUGUAGUGGCUACAGUGCUGCACUAAGACCUUGCAGACCAGGGUUCAAAUCCCUUCUUGGCCA